This 279-nucleotide ribosomal RNA is filed under the name uncultured bacterium. RNAcentral describes it as "partial 16S ribosomal RNA". It matches the Rfam family "Bacterial small subunit ribosomal RNA", at positions 506 to 784 of the family's 1533-position model. The record is from RNAcentral.
UGCCAGCAGCCGCGGUAAUACGAAGGGACCUAGCGUAGUUCGGAAUUACUGGGCUUAAAGAGCUCGUAGGUGGUUGAAAAAGUUGGUGGUGAAAUCCCAGAGCUUAACCUUGGAACUGCCAUCAAAACUUUUUAGCUAGAGUGUGAUAGAGGUAAGUGGAAUUUCUAGUGUAGAGGUGAAAUUCGUAGAUAUUAGAAAGAACACCAAAUGCGAAGGCAACUUACUGGGCUAUUACUGACACUCAGAGACGAAAGCUAGGGUAGCAAAAGGGAUUAGAUA